GGGCGUUAAGUUGCAGGGUAUAGACCCGAAACCCGGUGAUCUAGCCAUGGGCAGGUUGAAGGUUGGGUAACACUAACUGGAGGACCGAACCGACUAAUGUUGAAAAAUUAGCGGAUGACCUGUGGCUGGGGGUGAAAGGCCAAUCAAACCGGGAGAUAGCUGGUUCUCCCCGAAAGCUAUUUAGGUAGCGCCUCGUGAAUUCAUCUCCGGGGGUAGAGCACUGUUUCGGCUAGGGGGCCAUCCCGGCUUACCAACCCGAUGCAAACUGCGAAUACCGGAGAAUGUUAUCACGGGAGACACACGGCGGGUGCUAACGUCCGUCGUGAAGAGGGAAACAACCCAGACCGCCAGCUAAGGUCCCAAAGUCAUGGUUAAGUGGGAAACGAUGUGGGAAGGCCCAGACAGCCAGGAUGUUGGCUUAGAAGCAGCCAUCAUUUAAAGAAAGCGUAAUAGCUCACUGGUCGAGUCGGCCUGCGCGGAAGAUGUAACGGGGCUAAACCAUGCACCGAAGCUGCGGCAGC
RNAcentral lists this ribosomal RNA (521 nucleotides) under Salmonella enterica. RNAcentral describes it as "partial 23S ribosomal RNA". It matches the Rfam family "Bacterial large subunit ribosomal RNA", at positions 690 to 1209 of the family's 2925-position model. RNAcentral also lists the same sequence under 7 other names. Lineage: Bacteria; Pseudomonadati; Pseudomonadota; Gammaproteobacteria; Enterobacterales; Enterobacteriaceae. The record is from RNAcentral.